This 377-nucleotide ribosomal RNA is filed under the name uncultured bacterium. RNAcentral's name for it is "bacterial SSU rRNA". It matches the Rfam family "Bacterial small subunit ribosomal RNA", at positions 523 to 898 of the family's 1533-position model. The record is from RNAcentral.
AUACGUAGGAUGCGAGCGUUGUCCGGAUUUACUGGGCGUAAAGAGCGCGCAGGUGGCUAGGUAAGUUUGGCGUGAAAUCCCCCGGCUUAACUGGGGUAGGUCGUUGAAAACUGCUUAGCUUGAGUGCAGCAGAGGAAAGUGGAAUUCCCGGUGUAGUGGUGAAAUGCGUAGAUAUCGGGAGGAACACCAGUGGCGAAAGCGGCUUUCUGGGCUGCAACUGACGCUGAGGCGCGAAAGCGUGGGGAGCGAACCGGAUUAGAUACCCGGGUAGUCCACGCCCUAAACGAUGGACACUAGGUGUAGGGGGUAUCGACCCCCCCUGUGCCGAAGCUAACGCAUUAAGUGUCCCGCCUGGGGAGUACGGCCGCAAGGCUAAA